GCAUGCUCUGGGUAACGCCUUUGCUUCUGGCUGCUCUCCAUCAGUUUGUGGUUUCAGGGGUUUCCCCAGGCUUCCCUGUGGACUUACUGCCUCUCCUCUGCCUGGUGACCCUUAACCUUCACCUCUGACCUCCCACCUCCCAUGGAGCCAGACAUGGACUCUUUAGGAAUCUUCAGGCAGCUUUGCAUACAACAGGAUGAAGCUUAAAAGAGAGACAGUCACAGUUUCAGUAUGAUCCACAGUGGUCCGAAAUUUGGAAUCCUUGCCAAAAUACAGAACUGUCAUCUCCUUGAUUCAGAGUAUUUCUGAAGGUGAGGGACACAGUAGCACCUUUGGAAUGCAGAUCACUCAGACAACCUGCACCAAAAAUAUUUCCCAGUUCUCCAAGCAAAGCAAGCCAGGCUUAGCUGUGCAGAACAGUCUUGCACCCA
Microcebus murinus (gray mouse lemur) is the source of this 431-nucleotide non-coding RNA. Lineage: Eukaryota; Metazoa; Chordata; Mammalia; Primates; Cheirogaleidae. The record is from RefSeq and is a predicted model, not a curated record.